GUAGGGAAUAUUGGGCAAUGGUCGGAAGACUGACCCAGCAAUGCCGCGUGCAGGAAGAAUGCCUUCGGGUUGUAAACUGCUUUUGUACGGAACGAAACGGUCCGGGUUAAUACCCUGGGCUAAUGACGGUACCGUAAGAAUAAGCACCGGCUAACUACGUGCCAGCAGCCGCGGUAAUACGAAGGGUGCAAGCGUUAUCCGGAUUCAUUGGGUUUAAAGGGUGCGUAGGCGGAGCGUUAAGUCAGUGGUGAAAUCCUGCAGCUUAACUGUAGACUUGCCAUUGAUACUGGCGCUCUUGAGUGCGCUUGAAGUGGGAGGAAUGUGCCGUGUAGCGGUGAAAUGCUUAGAUAUGGCACAGAACACCAAUUGCGAAGGCAGCUCACUAAGGCGAUACUGACGCUGAGGCACGAAAGCGUGGGGAUCGAACAGGAUUAGAUACCCUUGUAGUCC
Molecule: ribosomal RNA, 450 nt
Filed under: uncultured bacterium
Lineage: Bacteria
Description: partial 16S ribosomal RNA
Rfam family: Bacterial small subunit ribosomal RNA
Source: RNAcentral